UACGUGGGGGGCUAGCGUUGUCCGGAAUCAUUGAGCGUAAAGCGCGUGUAGGCGGUCCGGUAAGUCCGCUGUGAAAGUCGGGGGCUCAACCCUCGGAUGCCGGUGGAUACUGUCGGGCUUGAGUACGGAAGAGGCGAGUGGAAUUCCUGGUGUAGCGGUGAAAUGCGCAGAUAUCAGGAGGAACACCAAUUGCGAAGGCAGCUCGCUGGGACGUUACUGACGCUGAGGAGCGAAAGCAUGGGUAGCGAACAGG
RNAcentral lists this ribosomal RNA (253 nucleotides) under uncultured bacterium. RNAcentral's name for it is "partial 16S ribosomal RNA". It matches the Rfam family "Bacterial small subunit ribosomal RNA", at positions 524 to 776 of the family's 1533-position model. The record is from RNAcentral.